AACGAACGCUGGCGGCAUGCCUAACACAUGCAAGUCGAACGAGGCCUUCGGGUCUAGUGGCGCACGGGUGCGUAACGCGUGGGAACCUGCCCUUAGGUUCGGAAUAACUCCCCGAAAGGGGUGCUAAUACCGGAUAAUGUCUUCGGACCAAAGGUUUAUCGCCUUUGGAUGGGCCCGCGUUGGAUUAGCUAGUUGGUAGGGUAAAAGCCUACCAAGGGGACGAUCCAUAGCUGGUCUGUGAGGAUGAUCAGCCACACUGGGACUAGGACACGGCCCAGACUCCUACGGGAGGCGGCAGUGGGGAAUAUUGGACAAUGGGCGAAAGCCUGAUCCAGCAAUGCCGCGUGAGUGAUGAAGGCCUUAGGGUUGUAAAGCUCUUUUACCCGGGAUGAUAAUGACAGUACCGGGAGAAUAAGCUCCGGCUAACUCCGUG
RNAcentral lists this ribosomal RNA (433 nucleotides) under uncultured bacterium. Its description in RNAcentral is "partial 16S ribosomal RNA". It matches the Rfam family "Bacterial small subunit ribosomal RNA", at positions 29 to 507 of the family's 1533-position model. The record is from RNAcentral.